Molecule: ribosomal RNA, 467 nt
Filed under: uncultured bacterium
Lineage: Bacteria
Description: partial 16S ribosomal RNA
Rfam family: Bacterial small subunit ribosomal RNA
Source: RNAcentral
GACGAACGCUGGCGGCGUGCUUAACACAUGCAAGUCGAACGGAAAGGCCCUGCUUUUGUGGGGUGCUCGAGUGGCGAACGGGUGAGUAACACGUGAGUAACCUGCCCUUGACUUUGGGAUAACUUCAGGAAACUGGGGCUAAUACCGGAUAGGAGCUCCUGCUGCAUGGUGGGGGUUGGAAAGUUUCGGCGGUUGGGGAUGGACUCGCGGCUUAUCAGCUUGUUGGUGGGGUAGUGGCUUACCAAGGCUUUGACGGGUAGCCGGCCUGAGAGGGUGACCGGCCACAUGGGGACGGGGAUACGGCCCAGACCCCUACGGGGGGCAGCAGGGGGGAAUAUUGCAAAAGGGGCGGAAGCCUGAUGGAGCAACGCCGGGGGGGGGAGGGCGGCCUUCGGGUUGUAAACCGCUUUCGCGUGUGACGAAGCGUGAGUGACGGUAAUGGGGAAAGAAGCACCGGCUAACUACGU